This 75-nucleotide transfer RNA is filed under the name Gammaproteobacteria bacterium. Its description in RNAcentral is "tRNA-Glu". It matches the Rfam family "tRNA". From Rfam's summary of the family: Transfer RNA (tRNA) molecules are approximately 80 nucleotides in length. Their secondary structure includes four short double-helical elements and three loops (D, anti-codon, and T loops). Lineage: Bacteria; Pseudomonadati; Pseudomonadota; Gammaproteobacteria. The record is from RNAcentral.
GUCCCCAUCGUCUAGCGGUCAGGACACCGCCCUUUCACGGCGGUAACGGGGGUUCGAGUCCCCCUGGGGACGCCA